RNAcentral lists this transfer RNA (72 nucleotides) under Camelus bactrianus (Bactrian camel). It matches the Rfam family "tRNA". Rfam says of the family: Transfer RNA (tRNA) molecules are approximately 80 nucleotides in length. RNAcentral also lists the same sequence under 2 other names. Lineage: Eukaryota; Metazoa; Chordata; Mammalia; Artiodactyla; Camelidae. The record is from Rfam by way of RNAcentral.
GAGGGCACAGCUCAGUGGGAAAGUGUGUGCUUAGCAUGCACGAGGUCCUGGGUUCAAUCCCCAGUGCCUCCA